RNAcentral lists this ribosomal RNA (460 nucleotides) under uncultured bacterium. RNAcentral describes it as "partial 16S ribosomal RNA". It matches the Rfam family "Bacterial small subunit ribosomal RNA", at positions 338 to 795 of the family's 1533-position model. The record is from RNAcentral.
CCUACGGGUGGCAGCAGUGAGGAAUAUUGGUCAAUGGACGAGAGUCUGAACCAGCCAAGUAGCGUGAAGGAUGACUGUCCUAUGGUUUGUAAACUUCGUUGAUAUGGGAAUAAAAUGUUCCACGUGUGGGUUUUUGUAUGUACCAUAUGAAUAAGGAUCGGCUAACUCCGUGCCAGCAGCCGCGGUAAUACGGAGGAUCCGAGCGUUAUCCGGAUUUAUUGGGUUUAAAGGGAGCGUAGGUGGAUUGUUAAGUCAGUUGUGAAAGUUUGCGGCUCAACCGUAAAAUUGCAGUUGAAACUGGCAGUCUUGAGUACAGAAGAGGUGAGCGGAAUUCGUGGUGUAGCGGUGAAAUGCUUAGAUAUCACGAAGAACUCCGAUUGCGAAGGCAGCUCACUGGACUGCAACUGACACUGAGGCUCGAAAGUGUGGGUAUCAAACAGGAUUAGAUACCCGGGUAGUC